UGCUUAGACCUGCUUUGGCUGUGCAGGACCUUUGGUAAUUACUGUCUUUUCUGUUUCUGCUAAGAAUGUUACUGGAGGGGCUGGUCAGAUGGCUCAGAGGUUAAGAGCACUGACUGCUCUUCCGAAGGUCCUGAGUUCAAAUCCCAGCAACCACAUGGUGGCUCACAACCAUCUGUAAUGAGAUCUGAUGCCCUCUUCUGGAGUGUCUGAAGACAGCUACAAUAAAUAAAUAAAUCUUUAAAAAAAAAAAAAAAGAAUGUUACUGGAAUUCUGAUGAUGGUCAUUAUAUCUGCGAGCCACAGUGCUAACUCAUGAGUAGGUCUGUGCAUUUUGUAGUGACUUCAAGUAGAUGUCUCCUCACCUCUCUGCUCGAGUUCCCAGGGCUUCACUCCCCUGGCACUUUGGGAGUGGGAGGAGAGCAUCAUGACUAGGGUUUUCUUCUCAGAGGAAUCAUUGUUGGUCUAUAGAAAACCAUCACUGGCCAGGCCAGCCUGCUCUACAUGGUGAGAUGGGGGUUUUUGUUUUGGUUUUUCCCUUCCCUUAUGGCUUUAAGAAUUUAAACACCAUAUCC
Molecule: long non-coding RNA, 571 nt
Filed under: Mus musculus (house mouse)
Lineage: Eukaryota; Metazoa; Chordata; Mammalia; Rodentia; Muridae
Description: long non-coding RNA chr5:115090484-115091055
Source: RNAcentral